This 568-nucleotide ribosomal RNA is filed under the name uncultured bacterium. RNAcentral's name for it is "partial 16S ribosomal RNA". It matches the Rfam family "Bacterial small subunit ribosomal RNA", at positions 355 to 1375 of the family's 1533-position model. The record is from RNAcentral.
UGGGGAAUAUUGCACAAUGGGCGAAAGCCUGAUGCAGCAACGCCGCGUGAGGGACGACGGCCUUCGGGUUGUAAACCUCUUUUAGCAAGGAAGAAGCGAAAGUGACGGUACUUGCAGAAAAAGCGACCGGCUAACUACGUGCCAGCAGCCGCGGUAAUACGUAGGGCGCAAGCGUUAUCCGGAAUUAUUGGGCGUAAAGAGCUCGUAGGCGGUUUGUCGCGUCUGCUGUGAAAACCCGAGGCUCAACCUCGGGCCUGCAGUGGGUACGGGCAGACUAGAGUGCGGUAGGGGAGAUUGGAACUCCUGGUGUAGCGGUGGAAUGCGCAGAUAUCAGGAAGAACACCGAUGGCGAAGGCAGAUCUCUGGGCCGUAACUGACGCUGAGGAGCGAAAGGGUGGGGAGCAAACAGGCUUAGAUACCCUGGUAGUCCACCCGUAAACGUUGGGAACUAGUUGUGGGGUCCAUUCCACGGAUUCCGUGACGCAGCUAACGCAUUAAGUUCCCCGCCUGGGGAGUACGGCCGCAAGGCUAAAACUCAAAUGAAUUGACGGGGUCAUAGCUGUUUCCU